RNAcentral lists this unclassified non-coding RNA (220 nucleotides) under Hevea brasiliensis (rubber tree). Lineage: Eukaryota; Viridiplantae; Streptophyta; Magnoliopsida; Malpighiales; Euphorbiaceae. The record is from RNAcentral.
ACCAACAUCUCUACCCUCAUAAUACCCUACCGAGCUUGGCAUGAAGAAAUGGUCACUUGGUUGGAUGGUAACUCCCCGAAAGCUUUGGUUUGGACUGGCAGCUGCUUUCCUCAGGUCACAAAUUGGUUCAGAGAUCUUGUCGUGUGUCCUCUCUACACCUAUUCUUUCUCCUUCAAGUCGUUGAAUUCUUUGGGAGUAUACUGCAGCUGCCUUGCCAAGG